This 1191-nucleotide long non-coding RNA is filed under the name Sphaeramia orbicularis (orbiculate cardinalfish). RNAcentral's name for it is "lncRNA (ENSSORG00005018208.1)". Lineage: Eukaryota; Metazoa; Chordata; Actinopteri; Kurtiformes; Apogonidae. The record is from RNAcentral.
UACUUUAACACCAGAGCAGAGUAUUUAUUUACAAACACUUCAAACUCUACUUUAACACCAGAGCAGAGUAUUUAUUUACAAACAUUCAAACUCUACUUUAACACCAGAGCAGAGUAUUUAUUUACAAACACUUCAAACUCUACUUUAACACUAGAGCAGAGAAUUUAUUUACAAACACUUCAAACUCUACUUUAACACUAGAGCAGAGAAUUUAUUUACAAACACUUCAAACUCUACUUUAACACUAGAGCAGAGAAUUUAUUUACAAACACUUCAAACUCUACUUUAACACCAGAGCAGAGUAUUUAUUUACAAACACUUCAAACUCUACUUUAACACUAGAGCAGAGAAUUUAUUUACAAACACUUCAAACUCUACUUUAACACCAGAGCAGAGUAUUUAUUUACAAACACUUCAAACUCUACUUUAACACUAGAGCAGAGCAUUUAUUUACAAACACUUCAAACUCUACUUUAACACCAGAGCAGAGUAUUUAUUUACAAACACUUCAAACUCUACUUUAACACUAGAGCAGAGUAUUUAUUUUUUCUGAACACUACAAAUCAAACAUUCUAAUGACUGAACGGUUAAAAGUCGGACUUUUUCGGUGCAGAAUGAGUUCAAGUGUGACUUCAUGGCAGAACUGCACAGUCAGAUGACAGGAGUUCAGGGUCAACUCUAAUUUUAAUAUGUAUUUCUGUAUAUAUUUUUUGUUAAACUCUGUGUUCGUUCAUGCGUUAAAUGUUACGACGUGUCACUAGCAUGUUGUUUUCUUUUUUAUUACAGACUACAGAUGAACUUGUGAUGGAAUUUGAGCUGCUUGAGAGUACAGACACAAGUCAUGAAUACCUGACCAAUGGCAUCCUGAUGGUGAGGCGGAGCUUUGAUUUUUUAUUAAUUAAUUAAUUAAUUUAUUUAUUUAUUUUGAACAUGCAAAGAAACAAAAUAAAACGAAGCAAAUUAAGAUAAAAACAAAAAAAACUUUAAAUGAACAGAAUCUGUCUUCGAGCACAAACCAGUCUGAAUUUUACAAAAGGAGUAGAAGAAGAAACUGUUAAGUUUUAACAAUGAAUGCACCUUCAUUUGACUGGAAAUGAUUAAAGCAACCACAUGGUAUUUUUAAUUAUCAUAUUAAUGAGACAGUGAUUGGGCUUUAAAAUACUAUAAAAAUGUAGUAGUAGGAGUUUAAAU